AAUAAGCUAAAUAAGAGCGUAUGGGGAAUGCCUAGGCUCUCAGAGGCGAUGAAGGACGUGAUAAGCUGCGAAAAGCUGCGGGGAUUGGCACAUACAAAUUGAUCCGUAGAUAUCCGAAUGGGGCAACCCACUAUAUUGAAGAUAUAGUAUGUCGUAAGACAAGCAAACCCAGAGAACUGAAACAUCUAAGUACCUGGAGGAGAAGAAAACAAAAGUGAUUCCGUUAGUAGUGGCGAGCGAACGCGGAUUAGCCCAAACCAGUAUUGUUACGGCAAUAUUGGGGUUGUAGGACCAAGACAUUUAAUGUUUAAUGAAUUAGAAUACUUUGGAAAAAGUAACCAUAGAGGGUGAUAGUCCCGUAUAGGUAAGUUGAA
RNAcentral lists this ribosomal RNA (374 nucleotides) under uncultured Flavobacteriaceae bacterium. RNAcentral's name for it is "bacterial LSU rRNA". It matches the Rfam family "Bacterial large subunit ribosomal RNA", at positions 1 to 391 of the family's 2925-position model. Lineage: Bacteria; Pseudomonadati; Bacteroidota; Flavobacteriia; Flavobacteriales; Flavobacteriaceae. The record is from RNAcentral.